GGGAGGACGAACAGGACGCUAUCCAAGCCCAAGAAAACCUUCAUCUCACGGGCUUGGAUGAAAGGACAACUUCUUCUCCAAUCUGCUGCAUUUUUUUGUUAUUGCUUUAUAUUUCCUGAGCCACACUAAGAGCAGCCGCCUUCAGAGGAUAUGGAAGUGCAGUAUUGAUCUAGAAGGUGGAGCGGAGGAAAAGAUGAGGGAUUUCGCCGCUUCCUCACCGUUUGCAAGCUCAGGUUCACCGUUCAUUGCUAAUGAAUGGCUGCUAAUGAGCCUACUUUUUCCUUCCUUCCUCAUAUAAUAUAAGACUCUUUUUUUUUUUUUUUUUACCUGUAACAAAUCCAAAUGUGAAGACGUGACAUGGGACUUAAGGCAUCAGUCCUGAAAAUCUCAACGCAGAGUUCCUACUUUUUGGCAUGGCGUGGACAGCACAGGGCUUGACAAGGAUGGGGUCCUUGCUGCAUGCAACUGGCGAGAAGGGAAGGAAACGUGGACCAUGUGGAGAUGAAGCCACUCUUUGUCGCCAUGACGAUGUAAAGCUGCAAUCAAGGACAGGAACACAUGCAACAAAGUGCGUGCUUUUUUUUAUUAAUUUGUCGUCAUGUGAGCAGGUAAAUUGAAGAAGCUUCUAAAAUGUAUUUUGAGGAGUCCUAAAGGGUUGAGCAACCACAUCUGUUUAGAACUGCAGCUAUAAUCAGAAAUCAGUCAUACUUUUUCAUUUAUGUUCAGUUAUGAAUAUGCCUAAUUAAAAGCAUGUCUUGCCAAAUUGUCUUAUCUAAAAACAAUAAUUAAUUUUGGAUUGGAUUGGAUUGGAUACAACUUUAUUGUCAAAUGUGCUGUAUGUGUAACA
Molecule: long non-coding RNA, 847 nt
Organism: Hippocampus comes (tiger tail seahorse)
Lineage: Eukaryota; Metazoa; Chordata; Actinopteri; Syngnathiformes; Syngnathidae
Exons: 3
Source: RefSeq, a predicted model, not a curated record